GGGGGCGACCGGCUUCGACGGGGAUCAGGAGGUGCAGGGGCGCGUGCCGAGGUCCAGAGUCCUCGAAAAAAAUCUGGGCAAAACACAACUGCCGACCACGAGUUGGCACUUGCGGCUUAACUAGCCGCACGCGCUGUCUUCCGCCGCCCGCGCGGGGGACAGGGCGUCAGAGCUGCGGGCUGGGUUUCCCGGUGUCUGGAGACGGGGGGCCGAGACCAACUUCCAGAUAGUCUUCUUUCCCGCGCGUCAGCGGGGUGGGGAGGAAGGCGAACAUACCCAAACCCGCGGACUACGCACGUAGGGGCCCUGUGCUGAGGAUCUUCGGACGCGGGUUCGAUUCCCGCCGCCUCCACCA
This 355-nucleotide transfer-messenger RNA is filed under the name Nitrospirota. Its description in RNAcentral is "RBG-16-64-22 sp016195465 Standard tmRNA". It matches the Rfam family "transfer-messenger RNA". Rfam says of the family: Bacterial tmRNA, also known as 10Sa RNA or SsrA, is named for its dual tRNA and mRNA-like properties. Its role is to liberate the mRNA from a stalled ribosome. RNAcentral also lists the same sequence under 1 other name. The record is from RNAcentral. Lineage: Bacteria; Pseudomonadati.